Molecule: unclassified non-coding RNA, 287 nt
Filed under: Limonomyces culmigenus
Lineage: Eukaryota; Fungi; Basidiomycota; Agaricomycetes; Corticiales; Corticiaceae
Description: partial internal transcribed spacer region
Rfam family: Eukaryotic small subunit ribosomal RNA (bases 1-46)
Source: RNAcentral
AAGUCGUAACAAGGUUUCCGUAGGUGAACCUGCGGAAGGAUCAUUAACGAGUUCUGACUUGGGUUGUCGCUGGUCCUCCGGGACAUGUGCACACUCAAUGCUCAUCCACUCACCCCUGUGCACACUUGUAGUUUCUCGGUUCCUAAAGGAUGUUUGAAGGCCUCGCGGCUGAAUACAUUCUGCGGGAAUUGGGGGAUUACGUUUUUAUACACGCAUAAAGUCUAGAAUGUUAUCUUUGCUAUAAAACGCAUUAAAUACAACUUUCAACAACGGAUCUCUUGGCUCUC